AACGAACGCUGGCGGCAUGCCUAACACAUGCAAGUCGAACGAGACCUUCGGGCCUAGUGGCGCACGGGUGCGUAACGCGUGGGAACCUGCCCUUAGGUUCGGAAUAACUCCCCGAAAGGGGUGCUAAUACCGGAUAAUGUCUUCGGACCAAAGAUUUAUCGCCUUUGGAUGGGCCCGCGUUGGAUUAGCCAGUUGGUAGGGUAAAAGCCUACCAAGGCGACGAUCCAUAGCUGGUCUGAGAGGAUGAUCAGCCACACUGGGACUGAGACACGGCCCAGACUCCUACGGGAGGCAGCAGUGGGGAGUAUUGGACAAUGGGCGAAAGCCUGAUCCAGCAAUGCCGCGUGAGUGAUGAAGGCCUUAGGGUUGUAAAGCUCUUUUACCCGGGAUGAUAAUGACAGUACCGGGAGAAUAAGCUCCGGCUAACUCCGUG
RNAcentral lists this ribosomal RNA (433 nucleotides) under uncultured bacterium. RNAcentral's name for it is "partial 16S ribosomal RNA". It matches the Rfam family "Bacterial small subunit ribosomal RNA", at positions 29 to 507 of the family's 1533-position model. The record is from RNAcentral.